GCUUACUAGGUCACCCAGGUGAAGGUAUGGCAUAGCUGCAUAGGAGGUUGUCUUCCCAACGAUGUCUGGGCCGGAGCAGCCUGGAGGCAUCAAAGCCAGCUCCUUGCCUCAUGGUGGUUUCCUUGCCAGAGGAUCACCAGUCAACUACUAACUGCCUGAACCUGGUCAUCUUACAAGAUCUGAUGAAAGUAUGCCACAAGAAAGCACUGUUUAAGCAAAAAAGUUCUUGAUGCUGGUACAAAUGCCUCCAAGGCUGUGAGCCUUCCAGAAAGAGAAACUAUAUUUACAGUGACCAUUGUGGGGAAAAAAACAAACCAAAAAACACCCUGACAUAUGUUAAGUGGUGUAUGUCAAGUGUAGGAUGGAAACAAACCUUUCUAAGCUCAAGCCUGAGACUUGCAUGGUGUUGUGCCAUACCGUCCAAAAAAACAGCACUAAUGAAUCACACCAGUUCAGAAGGAUCCUUACAAAAUGAUGUAAUUCUUCAUCCUACUGACAUUAUUGAUUAUCUUUAAGAAGACACUUACCAGGAUAAAUUACUUGUUGUUAUCUGCGAACCAGACUUCUCACAUUCUUGGACACCAAAUAAAUACUCUUAGAUUUGUUGGUUAUUUCAAGAUCAAUAUACAUAGCCUCAUAAUAGCAGAAAAUUAGUUUGUCAAUAGAAAUUGACCAGUGCACAAUCCCAAAAUUGCAGUUAUGCAGAUUGCAGCUACUUUGCGUGUAUGUGUGUGUAAAUGUGUUUUGGUUCAAGAGGAUUCCCACUCUGACAUGUCUAAUCAUGAAAGUCAAAGUCUUCUAUUCCAUUGCAAGCCAAAUCUGUGAUUACUAAAUUUGGUAGAAUCGAGGAAAUCAAACUCUGAGAUGAUAUGGUUAGAGGCUUUCAAAGUACAUAUUAUCUUGAUCUCCCUGUCCUGAAAAAAAAAUCAAAUACAUGGCAAGAGUAUUUUCUUGGGACCUUCUUUCAUUCACUUAAAAUCUAAGUUCCACAAACUAUGUUCAUAUGGAAGGAAUUGUCCCUUUGCCUAAAGCAAGAUCAGAAAGGCAAAAGCCAAGACUGAACUCUACCUGGCCGCUGGGAUAAAAGAGAACAAAAAACUUUUUUACAGUAAAGGGAGGGCUAAGGAGAAUCUCCAGCCUUUACUGGAUGUAGCAGGGAAUGUAACCGCUGAGGAUAAGGAAAAGGCUGAGAUUCUCAAUGCUUUCCUUACAUCUACCUUUAAAAAUCAGACUAGUUAUCCUCUGGGUACUCCACCCCCUCACUUGGAAGUCUAGGAUGGGGAGAAUAAACCCCCCACAAUUCAUGUGGGAGCAGUUAAGAGACCUACUACUGCACUUGUCUGUCACAAGUGUUCAGGGCCAGGUAGGAUCCACCCAAGGGUGCUGAGGGAGCUGGUGGAGAUAGUAGCUAUGCCACCUUCCACCAUCUAUUACUGUUCCUGGUCAACCAGAGGAUUGGAGGCUAGCCUUAUCUAUAAGGUAGAUAAUUAACACCUAGUAGCAGACAAUGCUGCUCAAAUGGCUUACAUCUGAGAUGAAUGUCAGAAACACUAAGCAAAACAAGUGCCGUACCCUCUGACUCAUUGUCUAGUUAAAUCUUGUACAGUCUGGCAUAUCUCCAAAACAAUAUAUAUAUAUAUUUUACCUUAUUUAAUGAUACUGACCUAUGAAAUUAUAUUUCUCUGUUCCCUCACUCUGUGUUGAUCCAAUACAAGAGAGUAAGUUUUCUU
This is a long non-coding RNA of Gallus gallus (chicken), 1730 nucleotides long. The record is from Ensembl. Lineage: Eukaryota; Metazoa; Chordata; Aves; Galliformes; Phasianidae.